RNAcentral lists this microRNA precursor (126 nucleotides) under Glossina pallidipes. RNAcentral's name for it is "microRNA mir-999". The stretch from base 19 to 104 matches the Rfam family "mir-999 microRNA precursor family". The record is from RNAcentral. Lineage: Eukaryota; Metazoa; Arthropoda; Insecta; Diptera; Glossinidae.
AGGAAAUGACAUUAUAAGCUCAUCUACUGUGACAUAGUCGUACAGAAAAUAUUGUGUUAUACGAGUCCAAUGUUAACUGUAAGACUGUGUCUUGGUGGCUUGAAAUAAACUUCGACACAAUGCAAA